Long non-coding RNA from Danaus plexippus (monarch butterfly), 655 nucleotides. RefSeq lists it as uncharacterized. Lineage: Eukaryota; Metazoa; Arthropoda; Insecta; Lepidoptera; Nymphalidae. The transcript is spliced from 2 exons. The record is from RefSeq and is a predicted model, not a curated record.
ACAUGUUAAAACCACAGUGACAACAGAUUGUACCUAAACCACAGAUAUUAUGACUUUGACAUUUAGUUUUAAACUUGACAUAAAUUUUUCAUAUUGAACUAUCAACAAUUAUCAACGUUAUCCACUACUUGUUUUUCUGUGUUAAAGAACGCAAAAUGUUUUUCAAAGUAUUCAUGUUGAUAUUUUCUGCCUUAGCAAUUAGCAAUGUUGAAGCAGCGCACAGCUAUGACUUUGGAGACUUCCUAGCCACAGUUUUAGGAAUUGGGAUAUCUGUUAUUGGUAUUCUUGCGUGUUUAGGUAAUUACGCCAGACAGAAAGCAAGAAACGAGUUUAUUUAAAUUAUAUUCAACGUAUAAUCGCAGGAUCAGAAUAUAUCGUAUCGAGGUAAUCGUAAAUAUGUUUCUGUCUAAUGAACAAGAACAUACAACAAAACAAAUGUAAUUAUUAUUGCACAUUUAUAUUUCUUAUCUGUUAUAUCUGAGUUUGGCUGAAAUAAUAUUAUUAAAAUCUUUUUUUUAUCCUUUGACAUAAAAUGUAAAAAAAUAUCUAUGAUAUAAAAAAACAAUAUUGUGAUUUUUGAUUAUUAUAUUAUACAUGUGAAAUAUGGUGUUGCUGUAUGGUACUUUAGUGAGGCAAUAAAUAUGUAUAUAUUAAA